AGGAAGGGGGAAGGAGGGAGAGAAUGGGGGGUGGAGAAAAGGAGAAUACCUAUACUUUUGAUCUGAACUUUCAUUGCAUCCUGCUGGAGAAGUCGAAAAGAAAAGAUGAUGGAGAGCCUCCAGAUUCAGAAGUGGCAGCCUUGUUAACCGGAGGAGGUUGUGAAGGAGGAAGUGGGGAAUGACAGCGAAGGGAUGAAGCACUUCUCUCAAGACAGAUGGGAUUUUCAGGUCAUAAGAAGGCUGUCUGGUAAGCCUUUAUUUUCAUCGUGAUGCUUCUGACACGGAAAAAAAAAAGAAAGAAAAGAAAAGAAAGAUUUCACAAGUGAGAGAAGCUAUCAAGAGCCCACUUCUUCUUGAAUUUUGCUUUGAAGAAGAAUAAUGUCAACGCAACCUCUUCUCAUCAAAGGGCAAAAACAUUGCUGACAAAGCAGGGACAAGUCACACAAUGCUACAAAAUGUGUUUGAGUCACCGGGCAACCCCACGCCAACAUUUUCCAGCCGCCCUUUAAGACUGCCUGAAACAUAAAGCAAGUUCAUAACGUGAAGCCUAGCAUUUAAAAUCUAAUUUGCCACUACCCAAUUACUCUCCGCAGAGGCUCAGCAACGUGGUGCGUAGGAUUCACAGUUUGCUCACAUUUUGCCCCGGCUGCUGAUUCAAUCUUCUUCUUUUGCUCCAGUAGUCACUCCGAUGUCUUGCUGGGAUGAAACGAAAUUCGCAUUUAGCUCUUCGGUCAUGAACCACCCCCCAUUGAAAAAUCGCAGUGCCGAAUGCAUAUUCAUGGCCCGUGCCAUACAUAUUGAAAGAUAUCUGGAGAAAGUAGCUUGGCGCAGAAAUCUGAAGUCUUGUGUUUUCCA
Long non-coding RNA from Pantherophis guttatus, 855 nucleotides. RefSeq lists it as uncharacterized. Lineage: Eukaryota; Metazoa; Chordata; Lepidosauria; Squamata; Colubridae. The record is from RefSeq and is a predicted model, not a curated record.